GAAUGGCUCAUUGGUUAACGAGGCGUCCUUUCACAUGGAAGGUCAGAGGUUCGAAUCCUUUACUGUU
Molecule: transfer RNA, 67 nt
Filed under: Partenskyella glossopodia
Lineage: Eukaryota; Cercozoa; Chlorarachniophyceae
Source: RNAcentral